Aegilops tauschii subsp. strangulata is the source of this 2436-nucleotide long non-coding RNA. RefSeq lists it as uncharacterized. The record is from RefSeq and is a predicted model, not a curated record. Lineage: Eukaryota; Viridiplantae; Streptophyta; Magnoliopsida; Poales; Poaceae.
UCCAUCCAUCCAUCCGACCCACCGAACGCACCAGCACACACUCUCUCUCUCGCUCGAACCCACCCAAACCCUCGUCGCCUCCUCUCUCCCCCCCGAACCCCUCUCUCCCUCGCCGCCGCCGCCACCCACGCCGCCCGGUUCCGGCGAGCUCCGGCCGCGCGCAGCACGCCGGCGAGAUCCCCUUGGUCCGCGUCUGCCUUACCUCCGUGCAGAUCCGCGGCUCCCCCACUGGCUAGGGUUUUGCAUCCCCUUUUGUUCGCCGGGAUCCGCCACGGCAGGCCACGGCGAGGCCAGAGGUGACCGGAUCCAGCACUAGUCGCCAUGGGCGUGCCGGCGACGACGGCAGGAGGGGCGCACCUCCGUGGGGCGGGACGCCGCCAUGGAGAUGGAUUCCCUUUCCCCACCACGCAGCGGCCCCAUGGAGCCUCCCAGCGCCCCAAACACUAGCGGAGAGAGAGGAGCUGCUCCUAGUACAGCACGCCAUGGAAGGUUGCUCUAAUGGCGAAGCUUCUGCUGCAGGACGCCCUCCACCCCUCCCCUGCAAGUAUUGGUUCAGUUUUUGUGUGAAAUUCGAUUGUCAUUGUGCUUUUUGAUGCUUGCUUCAGAAAAAUAAAAUCAUGGAUAGAUAGAAGAUGGAAACAGUGAGCUUCCUUUCAAGUUAGUAAUACUAAAAAUCAUUUGGCUCAUCAAUUUUUCAUGUCUUGUGUAAAUUCCGCUCCAUUGCAAUCUGGCUAUGUAUGGAUGGUUUGGUACAGUUUGCCAUGGAUGAGUAUAUGUAGUUACGUACACAUGUGCUCUGCAGUUUUAGUUCUUCUUGUGUUGCUGCACUUAGUCUAGAGAUACAACAACAUUAGUUAGGUCCAUGGAUGGAUGGAUCAACACAUACAGCUAGCAGUGCUAGCAACAACAAAAAAAUAACCUUGUUAUUGAUUCUGUUGACGCUAGCAUGCUCUGUUAGUUUUGGAGCCCAACCAUGGACUAUACGUACUAAGCUAGCUCAAGCACACACACAGGCAGCUUGAUUUAUUUCUGUAGAUACUAGCAGCAGCACGCGUGUCUCCUAUACUAGCUUGCUUAAUUUCUGUACUAGAUCAACGACACUAGCACUUGUUUGUUAGAUUCGGAGCAGCAGGCAUCCUCCAUGGACGAUGACGACAACCAGGUCAUCCACCGCCACAACGACGCCCCGCACAUGGUCCAACUCGACUACAACAUCCUCCACCGCGUGACGGCAACGUGGUCGUGUGCGGCAUUGACUACAACCUCCUCUCCUGUGAAUCCGUCUCCUACCUCUAGCUCCCUCUCUUGUGCUGCUAUAUUAGUACCUUGCUCUGUUUCAUGCGCAUGGGUGAUUUUGUUUGUGCUUGCCGUGCUUGUGUCAUGGAAAAGAUCAUUUCUAUUUAUUUGUGCUUUGUUUUCUUUAUUAUCACGAGUUGCAAAAUUAGUAGUGGGAAGUAAACUUUUGUUAACUUGUUGGUUGAACCAAUGGAACUACUGUUAUAUUUGAUUUGUCGCUCAACUAGUGCUGCAAUGAUGGGUUCGAAUGAUUGCAUGACCCUACUGUUGGUCUAUCAUUGCAAUUAUCUUGGUCUUAUAGACGUUAUUGUUCCUGUCACAUAGCACAUGCUAGUUUCUUUAUUUUGGCUGGCUGAUGGUUCUGUUUGUUCAUAUGCAUAAGUGCUACUGUUUCUUUGUUAUCUUAUAAAGGAUAUAGUCCUUCAUUUGUAUAUAGCUGAACCCUCUUAUUGAUCAACAUAUACUGAUUCAUCUCUUUACUGCAAUUACUCUGUGUAGUUCAUGAUUUGCUCCUGUAGUGGUAUAAAAUUAUAGUUUCUCUUUCAAGCUGGUAUCUGUGUUUGAUAUAUGCUAGUCUUUAUCUAAAUACCAUGUAUUGCCAUUUCUUGUAUGGUUUAGUACAUCAUCUACUGGUGGUUUAGUUAUAUGGUUUAGUUAUGAUGGUUGCAUGUAGUGAUAACCCAAGCUUAAUUGACGGAUCCUAAUUUGAGUUGAUCUUUGGGUUUGGCUUUGAUCCAUACUUUGCUGGCUCUACUUCUGUCUUGGGUUAUUCCUUACUGCCAAUUGAACCUGUUCCAUUGGCCCGAUUUACGUAGUGUUGGCUCUCUUCUACUGUUUCUUUGAUCAACUUAACCUGAUUGGGGUUUGACUAAUGUUUCCAAACUCCUAAGUGCUAGCUCCUACAGCAAAGGCAUUUCCUUUAGGGGAAUGGUACAUUUUAACCUUCAUCAAGUUUUUCCUGUUUGUGGUUUCUUGUUUUGCAGGUUGAUGAACUGGAAGAAAGAAGCAGAAGAUGAAGAACUAGAUAGUUUAGUGUAGGUUUAGUUUAGGGCUUUUCCUUCUUUUAUUUCUUUUUCCUCAAUUAUAAUUUCUGAAUGCUUGUAAUUGACAUUUAUAAUAAUAUAAGUCUAUUGUUUCUUA